GAUGAACGCUAGCGACAGGCCUAACACAUGCAAGUCGAGGGGCAGCACAUGAGUAGCAAUACGAUGGUGGCGACCGGCGCACGGGUGAGCAACACGUAUGCAACCUGCCUGUAAGAGGGGAAUAACCCGGAGAAAUUCGGACUAAUACCGCAUAAUACCGAGAGACUGCAUGGUUUUUCGGUUAAACAUUUAUGGCUUACAGAUGGGCAUGCGUAUGAUUAGCUAGUUGGUGAGGUAACGGCUCACCAAGGCAACGAUCAUUAGGGGUUCUGAGAGGAAGGUCCCCCACACUGGUACUGAGAUACGGACCAGACUCCUACGGGAGGCAGCAGUGAGGAAUAUUGGUCAAUGGGCGAGAGCCUGAACCAGCCAAGUCGCGUGAAGGAAGAAGGUUCUAUGGAUUGUAAACUUCUUUUGUAAGGGAAUAAAACACACCACGUGUGGUGUCUUGUAUGUACUUUACGAAUAAGGAUCGGCUAACUCCGUGCCAGCAGCCGCGGUAAUACGGAGGAUCCGAGCGUUAUCCGGAUUUAUUGGUUUAAAGGGUGCGUAGGCGGACCCGUAAGUCAGUGGUGAAAGUUUGCAGCUCAACUGUAAAAUUGCCAUUGAAACUACGGAUCUUGAGUGUAAAUGAGGUAGGCGGAAUGUGUUGUGUAGCGGUGAAAUGCUUAGAUAUAACACAGAACACCAAUUGCGAAGGCAGCUUACUGGGAUACAACUGACGCUGAGGCACGAAAGCGUGGGGAUCAAACAGGAUUAGAUACCCUGGUAGUCCACGCAGUAAACGAUGAAUACUAGCUGUAUGCGAUAUACUGUAUGUGGCAAAGCGAAAGCGUUAAGUAUUCCACCUGGGGAGUACGUUCGCAAGAAUG
This 872-nucleotide ribosomal RNA is filed under the name uncultured bacterium. RNAcentral's name for it is "bacterial SSU rRNA". It matches the Rfam family "Bacterial small subunit ribosomal RNA", at positions 28 to 896 of the family's 1533-position model. The record is from RNAcentral.